This 75-nucleotide transfer RNA is filed under the name Caulobacter phage Cr30. Its description in RNAcentral is "tRNA-Met". It matches the Rfam family "tRNA". Rfam says of the family: Transfer RNA (tRNA) molecules are approximately 80 nucleotides in length. Their secondary structure includes four short double-helical elements and three loops (D, anti-codon, and T loops). The record is from RNAcentral. Lineage: Duplodnaviria; Heunggongvirae; Uroviricota; Caudoviricetes.
GGACCAGUAGCUCAUUGGUAAGAACUGGCUGCUCAUAACAGUCUGGUGAUUGUUCGAUUCAAUCCUGGUCUACCA